UACGUAGGUGGCAAGCGUUAUCCGGAAUUACUGGGCGUAAAGCGCGUGUAGGCGGCUUCGCAAGUCGGGUGUGAAAUCCCACGGCUCAACCGUGGAAGUGCAUUCGAAACUGCGAGGCUAGAGUCCUGGAGAGGAAGGUGGAAUGCUUGGUGUAGAGGUGAAAUUCGUAGAUAUCAAGCGGAACACCGGUGGCGAAGGCGGCCUUCUGGACAGUGACUGACGCUGAGACGCGAAAGCGUGGGGAGCAAACAGGG
RNAcentral lists this ribosomal RNA (254 nucleotides) under uncultured bacterium. RNAcentral's name for it is "partial 16S ribosomal RNA". It matches the Rfam family "Bacterial small subunit ribosomal RNA", at positions 524 to 777 of the family's 1533-position model. The record is from RNAcentral.